GGAUGUGGGGCCGAUCUGGCUGCGAACAUCUGUCACCCCAUUGAUCGCCAGGGUUGUUCGGCUGAUCUGGCUGGCUAGGCAGGUGUCCCCUUUCCUCCCUCACCGCUCCAUGUGCGUCCCUCCCGAAGCUGAGCGCUCAGGUCGAAGAAGGACGACAUCCCCGAUAGAAGGAGGGACCAAUUCUUCGGUCAAGGGUAUACGAGUAGCUGCACUCCCCUCUAGAACCUCGCAAAACAAACUCUCAAAUGGUACUUCCUGCCUAAAUUACAUAGUAAGCCACACAAUACGACUGCCAGGUGUGCAUGCUGAGAUU
Molecule: small nuclear RNA, 313 nt
Filed under: Castor canadensis (American beaver)
Lineage: Eukaryota; Metazoa; Chordata; Mammalia; Rodentia; Castoridae
Description: 7SK RNA (ENSCCNG00000003921.1)
Rfam family: 7SK RNA
About the family: 7SK was discovered as an abundant small nuclear RNA in the mid-70s but a possible function has only recently been suggested. Two independent studies have found that 7SK RNA binds the CDK9/cyclin T complex (known as elongation factor P-TEFb).
Source: Rfam by way of RNAcentral